RNAcentral lists this transfer-messenger RNA (377 nucleotides) under Pacificispira spongiicola. RNAcentral's name for it is "Alphaproteobacteria transfer-messenger RNA". It matches the Rfam family "Alphaproteobacteria transfer-messenger RNA". Rfam says of the family: Bacterial tmRNA, also known as 10Sa RNA or SsrA, is named for its dual tRNA and mRNA-like properties. Its role is to liberate the mRNA from a stalled ribosome. To accomplish this part of the tmRNA is used as a reading frame that ends in a translation stop signal. Lineage: Bacteria; Pseudomonadati; Pseudomonadota; Alphaproteobacteria; Rhodospirillales; Aestuariispiraceae. The record is from Rfam by way of RNAcentral.
CCCCUUUCAUCGCGUCGCCGUAGUUCCUAUAUAUAUUCCGUCGAGCAAUCGACUAUGACGCUAGAGAGCGCUGCGGAAUAAGCGUUGUGGACCCGGGGGCAGUACCCGGCGCCUCCACCAAUUCGCCGGGAUCGGAACCGACCAUCUUCCAGAUCCCGGCCUCAUGGGGGCGAACCAGGAUCGACACGCGUAGUAAAGGCAGAUGUUCGCGUUCGGCAUGGUACCGCCGAUAUCGGGCCAAAUCGCUAAAUGCGAACGAUAACGACGAGAUGGUUGCUGUCGCUGCGUAAGCAGUCUCGGUAACGAAGUCGGAAUUCCUAGGGGACUCAUCCUCUCCUAGGUGGGGCUUGGGGGACCCAGCAACAGAACCCCCCACU